Molecule: long non-coding RNA, 4766 nt
Organism: Bombyx mori (domestic silkworm)
Lineage: Eukaryota; Metazoa; Arthropoda; Insecta; Lepidoptera; Bombycidae
Product: segmentation protein cap'n'collar
Exons: 5
Source: RefSeq, a predicted model, not a curated record
AGUGGGCUGUGUCUGAGGGUUAAUUUACUCGUCGAGCCCUUCGUCGCAAGCGACGGGUUCGAUGAGAACGAUGACCGGUGCUUGAGGUACCUAAAGCACCGUUAGUGGAUCGGGAGGAUCCGAAAUGACGUGUUUGUGGCGACGUCGACUGCUUUCCAUUCUUUCCGUAGGAUCGGGAAUGUAGUUAGCGGCGGCCACGAUGAGAGGGUUCCGUGUCGUGCCGCUUUAUCGAAGUAGCAAUAACUAUGUUGUCACCUGAAGUAUUAGAUAUCAGUUUAAUGCAUUUAUCGAUAUACCUAGGUACCUACUCAACGCAUCACUGAUUAGAAAUGACAUCAGCUGUCAAAAACAUAACCUAAAGUCCUUUAAAUAAAUUACUAACAAGCGAUAAAACUGGAUUAAACUCGUUAAUAAACAACAAAUUAAAUAUGAAGAAUGGACGAUAACUCGAAACACGCAUCCUCAUAUCAAUUAGACCAGGAAAUACUCGACGCUAGAGGCAUAGAAAUGACAGUGGAAGAGGUGGUUGAAUUACCGACUUGCAAGUAUGCAGAUCGCGUUCAUUCACUGAAAUUAAGUGAAGACGAUUUAGCAUUCCUUAAAGGAUUAAGAAGAAGGAUCAAGAAUAGAUUAGCAUCACAGAACAGCAGACGCCGAAGCGUUGAAAAUUUAAGGCGUUUGACGCGCGAGCUCAGGGCGGUGCGCGCUUGUAGACGAGACGCUUUAUCCGAAAGGCGGAGUCUGGUCGCGCAGCGGGACUCGAUCAGGGAGCAGUGCGUGGCUCUCCGGGCGUACUUAGUGCAGGCAUUAAGCGAACGUUCGGACAGCUCCGCGAUUCCGUCGAUACAAAAUCCGGCCCAGAAUCCGCACGAAUCUCCCGCGAAAUCUCGUUCCUCGUCUCCGCGCACCGAAUAUUCUAGCGACCGCAGCAACCUCGCGAAGGACGACGUUUUCGAGCUGCGACUGGACCGGCUGGUGGACCGCAGCGUCGAUCGCCUGUUCAGGUGCGAUGACGUCAAAAAGAUCUGCGCCCAGACGUUCUACAUUAACGAAAGCAAAUACGAGGGCGUGCUCAAUUUGUCGGUGAAAGACGGCCGCCGGGGCCACGGUCGGAAGCAGACUGCGCCCAGACGGAUCGUGUACUGCGAUAGUGAGGAUAACGUUUUGGAUUUGAAAAUCAAAACGGAGAAGCCCUGAGGAAAAGUCUUAUGUGAUUACCUACACGAUUUCGAACGAUAAUCACAAUUUAGUAUUUAAAUACGUGGUAUGAGAUCAAAGUUUAUACGCGUCUCUCUGCCUAGGGAACAAACAGUGUUUUUAGGGUUCUAAUGUACGACCAAUCUGAGUGAAGGUGAUUCGAAAUUGCCGCCAAACGCAAAGCGUAUUUGACGUCUGACGUUGACGUACGUGUCAUAUUUGACAGCUGUCAGUUUGAUUAAAACGUGCAAAAGUUAGUUUAAGGCACAGGUGUAAAUAGUCGUUUAUUCAUUAAUAAAGCUCAACUCGAAUGCUUUCUGUCGUUCUGGUAAUAAGCGUCCGUCGCUUAAAAGAAGACGUCGAGUGUACUGAGCUUUUUAUAGUUAAAUAGGAGUGAUGUGAACGAUAAAAGCGGGUGUGAUAAAAACGUUACUUGCAUAAGUGCGCGCGAUCUAAGUGCAACCGGUCGCCUAUUUUUGCCGUGAAGCAGCCUCGCGUUGUACGCUGCGAAUGAGACCGAGGCCUUUGUGACGUCACGCUUGUUACGUAAUGUAAUCCAGUAAAUGGCUUCGGAAAUAAAGCCGUCUUUUUGGUCCGGCGAUUCAGCUAGUUUCUGGGUUAUCGAAGUCUAUAAUUCCUCACUGAUCGAGGUUUUUAAAAAAAAAUCAUUAACGCCCACAUCUAAGUUUCCAGGGGAACGACUCUAAUUAGUACUAACGUCUGCUGAGAUAGUGUUGCCACAUUAAAUCCAACAAUACUUUUGGUCUUCCACUUAUACCAUGUAGACAUAAAUCAUCCUCUUCCACUUUUAAUUGAACCGUCUAAAUUCCUUACUUAAAACUUGAGCGAAAUUUUAUCAAUAAAAUAUUCGUACUUAAAUUAUCGUCGGGUUAAUCUGGAUACGGUGUGCUUAGUGUGAGUUUUUUGCCGCUAGGGGCGCUGUUCCAACUCCAUACAAAUUUGAGUUAACUUUGACGCUAUCGAAAACAUGAAAAUUACAGUGUGAAUACCGCCUUGAGAUAUAAGGUCGUAUUCUUAGAACGACUGUACCAACGCAUAACCGCCUAACUCGCUUAGGUAGGAUCAGUACCCGUCGCAAUACCAGUCACUUAAGCCGGUUCUAUGCCCCGUGUUCAUAGAUCCCUGUUUCAAAAGAAGAAAAAAACAUUUGAUAACUUUGACAGUAAUUUUGGCGGUCAAAUAUUGAACAAAAUGGCGUACGUUAAAGCCUUCUUAAUAGUAUGGAGGGUAGAAGUAAGGACCGUCUUGUAUAGGUGACAAGUUGAUAAACUGUCCGUCUGUAAACGGCGAGUUGUUAUUGGAAGACUCACCGAAGUAGCGCUAGUGUAGGAAGUGGAAAUGAUGUGGAUAUAGCAGUUUUAAACAGAGCGAAGUUGAAAAAUUUAAUAUUUUACGUGACUUUUGUAGUUCAAAAAUAUGCAGUAUUUAAAAUCUCAAUUAUUUUUAUUACUAUUAACGUAGGAAGUGUUUCUUUUCUUCUUAAUUUAGUAUCCUACUCUAAUAGUUUAUGGCGCGCUGCUUUUUAAAAUCUUUCCCCUUGCUACGUGGCGCCACCUUAAUUGGCUCCCUUCCAGCGGACACUUUUUAAUACACAAAGAUGUUGCUCCUUACUUCCUAGCCCAUUGAGAUUCUCGCCGGAUCUUUUCAGUGAGUCGCGUUUCCGAUCCGGUGGUAGAUUCUGCAAAGCACGGCUCUUGCUAGGGCCAGUGUUAGCAACACUUCCGGUUUGAGCCACGUGAGCUCACCUACACGUCAAGGAGAAGCUGAAAUAGCCUCUCAAGACUAUCAGUAUAGGUAGGAAAAAAAAUGUACUUGUACCAAAGAGGGCUUGUACCCUCCAAACUAAAUAGUUUACUGUAAUUUUUCAAAAAUGAAUGGCGUCCUUAUGAGAUGUCAUUUUUGACAUUUUGCGGUUUUUUUUUCAAUUACGAAAAUGACUACUGAAUAUUAGGAUCCGUUGUGCUAUGCGAUAAGUAUUUAAGUAAUAUAUGCUAUUCAAGUUAUACUUCUUUAGGCGCGUUAUGAAAAAUUGAUGAGAGUGAAAUUUUACGAUGCGCGCGCACCGUGACACAAAAUUAACAGAAUGAAGUUGCCUUCUAAAUCGCUCAUUACAAUACGACCGACGUAACUUGGCGAGUCUGAAUAUAGCCGCAGAUGAACUUUCCGAACCGUACCGAGAAUUACCGAAUUUAUACGAUGUCAAGAAAAGGGAUGUCCAAUAUGCGUGUUUGAGGAUGUUGUUUAAUCGAUUUUUUUCAAAUUGAUUAAAAUUUAAAUUAAAAAAAAAGAAAUAAAUUUAAUAAAAAUAAAGUAUAACUUCUUACGCGCCUACAUAAGUACACGCACCCUUUUUUUUAUUGAUAUCGAUUGUAGUGGCCAGUUUAAAAUUGCGUAAGUCUUCAACAGUCUGGAUAGAGUUGUUAAAGAGAAAUCUUGUUUAGUACAUUGCCAAAUUAAAAUUAUGUGCCAGUAGUAACGUUGACCGACAUUAUUAGGUCGAUCCGAAAGGUGACAUUUUUUAAAACAUCGUUGUCACACUACAUAAUUAUAAGAGGGUAGUAAAAUAGUUCAAGAGUGGAGGGCGCAAUAACAGAAGUUCGAAAUCGGACUAAGAUCGCGACAUCAGUGUGCUUAGUGAGAGUUUUUUAACGUUCUCUAUAGCGUAAAAGUUAACUCAAAUUGAGAUAAUAUGAGAUAAUAGUUCUAAGGUCUCAGUUUUUACAGUACAACGGCAGCCCCGCCCUAUAAACCGAAACGCGUUAUUGCUUCGCGGCAGAAAUGGGCAGGUCGGUGAUACCUACUGGAGCGGAUUCACAAGUCGAUCCCCCCACCAGUAAAAACCGUUUUUGCUUAGACGUUUAUCAUGUCUUCGCGUAUUAUGUUCAUAUCACGACAAUCUUCCACUUUUUAUAUGCGGAAUAUAUGAUAAUUGCUGUAUCAACUAAAAACCGGAGUCAUUAGAAAGAUAAUUCCGCACUUAUUUCAUAUUUAGGAAUUUUGCUAAAGUAACGCCAUCUUUAAUUCGCAGAGCGAGAGCGAUUUUGCAAUUCUACCCUCCUUAAGUCGACCAAAAUUCAAACAAACCUCCAAACAUUAUGUAUACUGACAGAUUGAAGCCAUAUAAAAAAAAGUUGUAUAUAUCGACGCUUGAAAGGCAAACGUGACUAAGCGACAAUGCGUGAACUUUACAGUAGACUAAUUUAAAUUUGAAAUACCUGAAAACAAAUAUAUUUUAACGAAUCUAGCUGUAGGAUUGAAAUGAUUUUAAUAGACCUAGAAAUAUAUAUUUUUUGCGCAUCGAAUAUGGUUAUUGCCUAUCAUUUAUGUAAAAAGCAGUUAUUGUCGCUUAGUCACGUUUGCCUUUCAAGCGUCGAUAUAUAAUUAUGUAUUUUUUUGUGUAUAUUUUUUAAGACCAAAUAAAUAUUAAUGCUUUAAGUAAAUAACCAAUUUACGUAGGUACGUGUUUUUAUAUUGUUGUAUGUACGAGUAUAAAUAUUUUAUUAAAAACGGUUUUUUUUUUAAGAAAAUUAUUAAAGAUUUAAAAUAUU